This is a long non-coding RNA of Panicum virgatum (switchgrass), 2690 nucleotides long. RefSeq lists it as uncharacterized. The record is from RefSeq and is a predicted model, not a curated record. NCBI's taxonomy places the organism in Eukaryota, Viridiplantae, Streptophyta, Magnoliopsida, Poales, Poaceae. The transcript has 2 exons.
CGCUGCCGCUGAUGUAAGGGCCGUCUCCUCUGGCGCCGACGACGAGGUGAGAAGAAGGUCCAUUUCAUUGCUAUACCAUCUCCAUUUCCUUCCUGGCAUACGUUCCCUAUUCGCGCAUUAGUGCUUGAUUUACCGUUUCGUUUGUAAUCGCUGUCAUAAAUCCCCAAUCCAUGCUAAGCGGCAGCCGAGAGCUUGCGGAUCCAGAAUCCGAUGCUGCAGUGAGUGCAUUUCUUUCUUCCGCGGCAGGAGCGAGUUCUCUGCGGCGAUGGGAGGGUGUCGUAUGAGGUGGAGGGGGGUUCUGCGAUGGAGUCAGCGACAGUAUUUGAUAUUCUAUUUUGGAGAUGGCAAUUACCAAUCCGUUACUGGAUGAUAGGCUGUUUGGUCAUCCUUAAUGUAACACGCUCUCCCUCCCGUAGUCCCAUGGUGGUCACAAGUGGACAGCUCAUUAUGAUUAGGUGUACAACGGCAAGCAUUUGCUACCAUGUUGGAUUUUCUGUUUUCCGUAUUUGGCUCUUCUCGAGCGAGAUAAACUGUAACUGUCAAGUGUGAACAUUUUUUUGGAUAAUGAACAAACUCUAUUUAGUGCUGACAUAUGAGUCCCCCUCUUUUAAUAAAAUGAUAUGUGUACAGAGAGGGGGCCCUACUCAGUUAUAGGUUUUGCAUUCUCACUCCGGCCGAAUUCUUUGUAACUUGACACAAUGGAACUUUCUUUGGAUCACUUGGUAAUUAAUAUCUGCAAAUGCUUACCAAACAAUUUUAGGCUAAUUUUAGGUAUCAGGGAACAUCGCAACAACUUUUGCUGCACUACUCAUCAAAGGUUAAAAGAUUGAUUAUAAAGUUCAUAAAUUGAAGGUCCGGACGUCUGGUACACUCUAUGUGAUAUUUCGUUCUGAUAGUGUGUGCUGACAAUGGCCUGCUGAAGUAUAUUUUUUAUGCGAACCUACUGACCUACUCUAGCAUCAGUUUGGUAUGUACAUCCCUAUGCUGUGGCUAAUAUUUAUUGCAGCCUUGAUGUUUAGGGAUCCGUCCUGUGUCUGAUUUCUUAUUCAGGACUCUUACCCUUGUCUUAUUGUCACACAAAAUAUAUCGGAGCAUGUCUAAUUAAGUUUUCAUCUUUAUCUAAGGGUGAUGCAACACAAUGGUGCAACUUGAUUUAUUGGCUGGCUAGGCAGGUUAGUUCUUCCCUAUGUAUUAUUUAUCUCUUCAGAUUAUCAAUUAUCUCCUUAAAUGGCUAAGUAACAUUUCAUAGUUUCUUUAAAAACAUGUCACCACAUGAUCAGAUCUUGUGAUCUUCUGGUACUUUGAUUUCCUCUCUGGUAAGACACCAUGGCCAUAAUCUGCUACUCUGCUUUGCUAUUUGGUUCACCUAACGUGUUGUCUUUUGUUUAGUUGUUUUCCAUUUUGUGAAUUCACUAAAUAUGUAGAUGUAGGUAGCAUCAACAUGUGUUCUUUUCUUUCUGUGCAUUGUUUUAUUUAAUGUAACAUAAGACAAAGGAAAGAAAAUUUUUAGUCUUAUCCGUAUCAAAGCUUUUUUCCAAGUUGGAUGUUGUGGAGUAAAAGAGAGCAGCAAUGGUUGGGUCUUGUUGGUCCGUGCACUACCUUAUUAAUUAAUUAGAAGAAAAUCUUAUCUUAGUUAUAGGCACGAGCAGUUUCAAUAAUUAGCUGGCUACAAAGGUCCCAAGUGCUGACCACUUAUCAACACUUUUUAUUUACCUCAUCACACUCAUUGUUUUUCUUAUUUCUUGCAUGCAUAGCCUGCAACUUCAUUCUAGAUUUACUGUUAGUGGGAUUUAACUUUUUUUAUUAAAUCCUAAUGCUAAUGAGCUUUAUAAGAACAGAAAGAUGAAAUCAUAGAUCACUCACUCUUGCACUAAACUAGUUUAAUUCCUUUCGCUCAUAUUGAUAUAUUAUAUAUAUAGUAGUCCAAAAUGCUUGAUCAUUAUUGGCCAGAAAUAGACUAAUGGUAGUGCAUUCCAUAAAAGAAAAUCAGAGGACUUUUGUUUGUUGCUAAUGUUUCUGACCUGUUUCCGAACAUACAUAUAACAGGGUACAUUUGUGUACCAAAAUCUCUAUUGGAACUGAACUUAAAAUAAACAGACUGUUACUCUCUUUAGUUAAAAUAACAUGUGGUCUUUUUAUCAUACAAUAAACUAAAUUCUUUUCUACUGUGCCCUGUAUCUUGUCAGGACUAAUACUUAUCUAUUGCCUGUCACCUUUCGAUGUUUCCAGAUGUAGUUUGAUCAAGUUUUAGGACUAGAAAAUGUAAUUGACAUAGCCAUGAAGGUCUAAGAAAUGAUUCUAAUCUUUAUAUAGAAAUGCAGUAUACAUUUCUUUAUCUCUAAGUGAGGCUGAAAUAUUUCAUUAUAUUACAAUAUGCCUUAUCCGAGCCUUAGAAAUUAUAUGAGUUUAGAUGUAACAUGGAACUUACUAUCAUAUUGUUUUGAAUAAUUACUGCAAACCAUAUCUGCUGUUAAUUGAUCUGGAGAAUAUUCCAGAGAUAAAUAUCAUGCAUAUAGAGCUUUGUCGUAUUGCACACUUUUGCACAAGCUGAUACAAACUAUUCUCACACUACAUAGAUACAUACAGCAUAAGCAUACCUCCAAUGUUACCAUAGAUUUUUUAAAAUACUGAAAUCCAUACUAAUGCAAACAUAGCUAGAAAGUACAAGUACUGUAAAUCUGCUAGGCAGA